This 253-nucleotide ribosomal RNA is filed under the name uncultured bacterium. Its description in RNAcentral is "partial 16S ribosomal RNA". It matches the Rfam family "Bacterial small subunit ribosomal RNA", at positions 524 to 776 of the family's 1533-position model. The record is from RNAcentral.
UACGUAGGGGGCAAGCGUUGUCCGGAAUCAUUGGGCGUAAAGCGCGUGUAGGCGGCCCGGUAAGUCCGCUGUGAAAGUCCAGGGCUCAACCCUGGAAUGCCGGUGGAUACUGUCGGGCUCGAGUCCGGAAGAGGCGAGUGGAAUUCCUGGUGUAGCGGUGAAAUGCGCAGAUAUCGGGAGGAACACCUAUGGCGAAGGCAGCUCGCUGGGACGUUACUGACGCUGAGACGCGAAAGCGUGGGGAUCAAACAGG